UGCAAAUCAAUUUAAAUUGAUUAUAAUUUAUUUAUUAAUUUUAAAAAAAUUAAAUUAUAAUUAUAUUAAAAAUAAUUAUUAGUUAUUUUGUUUUAGUAAAUUGUAUUGAAAUAAUAAUUUUAAUAAUAGUUAAUUAGUAUUGUGAAAGAUAAUUGAAAAAUAAUGAAAAAUAUUUAUUUAAAAAGAAAAAUUUAUUAUUUGUACCUUGUGUAUCAGGGUUUAUUAAAUAAUUAAUAAAUAUUUAUUAAUCUCGAUUUUAUAAGAGUUAAUAAUUUAUGAAAGUUAAUGUAUUAUAAUUAUUUUUAAUAAAUUAUUUGAAAUGAAAUGUUAUUCGUUUAUAAAGAUAUCUAGUUUUCUUAGAAAUAAAUUUAAUUUAUAAAUUUUUAAUUUAUUUAUUAUUUAAUUAAUAAAUAAAAUUAUAAAUUUAAGUAUUUUAAGGGGUAAGCUUUAAAAUAAAUUAUUAAAAAUUUAAUGAAUUAUUAAUUGAAAUAUAUGUAUAGAAUUAGCAAUUAUUAUUAAGUUUAGUUAUAAAUUAUUUUAUGAUUAUAUAAUUUAUUAAUAUUUUAAUUUGUUUUUAUGAGAAUUUUUUUUUAAAUUAUUUUUAAAAAAAAAUAAUGAUAAAAUUAGUAUAUAUGUAUUAUAUAAAUAAAUAAAUUUGAUAAGUUUAUAUAAAGAAUUCGGCAAAUAAUUUACUCGCCUGUUUAACAAAAACAUGUCUUUUUGAGUUGUUUUCCAAGUUUAACCUGCCCAAUGAAUUUUUUAAUGGCCGCAGUAUUAUGACUGUGCAAAGGUAGCAUAAUCAAUAGUCUUUUAAUUGAAGGCUUGUAUGAAUGGUUGGACGAAGUAUAAUCUGUUUCAUAUAAAUUUAUUAUAGAAUUUUAUAUUUUAGUAAAAAAGCUAAAAUUUUUUUAAAAGACGAGAAGACCCUAUAAAUCUUUAUAUUUUUAAUUAUUUUAAUUUUUUUGAUUUAUUUUAUUUUAAUAUUUAGAUUUAUUUUGUUGGGGUGAUAAUAAAAUUUAAAUAACUUUUAAUUUGUUAAGACAUUGAUUUAUGAUUUAUUGAUCUAUUAUUAAUGAUUAUAAGAAUAAGUUACUUUAGGGAUAACAGCGUAAUUUUUUUGGAGAGUUCUUAUUGAUAAAAAAGUUUGCGACCUCGAUGUUGGAUUAAGAUGAAAUUUUAGGUGUAGUUGCUUAAAUAAUAAGUCUGUUCGACUUU
Molecule: ribosomal RNA, 1215 nt
Filed under: Oedaspis dorsocentralis
Lineage: Eukaryota; Metazoa; Arthropoda; Insecta; Diptera; Tephritidae
Description: partial 16S ribosomal RNA
Source: RNAcentral